GUGGCGAACGGGUGAGUAACACGUGGGCAAUCUGCCCUGCACUCUGGGACAAGCCCUGGAAACGGGGUCUAAUACCGGAUAACACUCCUGCACUCAUGUGUGGGGGUUAAAAGCUCCGGCGGUGCAGGAUGAGCCCGCGGCCUAUCAGCUUGUUGGUGAGGUAAUGGCUCACCAAGGCGACGACGGGUAGCCGGCCUGAGAGGGCGACCGGCCACACUGGGACUGAGACACGGCCCAGACUCCUACGGGAGGCAGCAGUGGGGAAUAUUGCACAAUGGGCGAAAGCCUGAUGCAGCGACGCCGCGUGAGGGAUGACGGCCUUUNGGGUUGUAAACCUCUUUCAGCAGGGAAGAAGCGCAAGUGACGGUACCUGCAGAAGAAGCGCCGGCUAACUACGUGCCAGCAGCCGCGGUAAUACGUAGGGCGCAAGCGUUGUCCGGAAUUAUUGGGCGUAAAGAGCUCGUAGGCGGCUUGUCACGUCGGGUGUGAAAGCCCGGGGCUUAACCCCGGGUCUGCAUUCGAUACGGGCUAGCUAGA
Molecule: ribosomal RNA, 537 nt
Filed under: Streptomyces sp. 645358
Lineage: Bacteria; Bacillati; Actinomycetota; Actinomycetes; Kitasatosporales; Streptomycetaceae
Description: bacterial SSU rRNA
Rfam family: Bacterial small subunit ribosomal RNA
Source: RNAcentral